UGGCUCAGGAUGAACGCUGGCGGCGUGCUUUAUACAUGCAAGUCGAACGUGAAGCUGACUUCGGUCAGUGGAAAGUGGCGGACGGGUGAGUAAUACAUAGGAAAUCUGCCCUUAGGAAGGGGAUAACAGUCGGAAACGAUUGCUAAUACCCUAUAUGAGCUUGGUUGCAAUACCAAUCUUAGAAAACUCCGGUGCCUAAGGAUGAGCCUGUGCCUGAUUAGCUUGUUGGUGGUGUAAUGGACCACCAAGGCGACGAUCAGUAGCUGGUUUGAGAGGAUGAUCAGCCACAAUGGAACUGAGACACGGUCCAUACUCCGUACGGGAGGCAGCAGGUAAGGGUAAGUUUUGGGCAAGUGGGACGAAAGCCUCGACCCAGCAACGCCGCGUGUGUGAUGAACGCCCUAGGGGUGUAAAACACUGUCAGUAGGGAAGAAACUUGACUGUACCUACAGAGGAAGCACCGGCUAACUCCGUGCCAGCCGCGGC
Molecule: ribosomal RNA, 486 nt
Filed under: uncultured bacterium
Lineage: Bacteria
Description: bacterial SSU rRNA
Rfam family: Bacterial small subunit ribosomal RNA
Source: RNAcentral